RNAcentral lists this ribosomal RNA (206 nucleotides) under uncultured bacterium. Its description in RNAcentral is "partial 16S ribosomal RNA". It matches the Rfam family "Bacterial small subunit ribosomal RNA", at positions 568 to 774 of the family's 1533-position model. The record is from RNAcentral.
CUCGUAGGCGGCCAACUAAGUCAGACGUGAAAUCCCUCGGCUUAACCGGGAAACUGCGUCUGAUACUGGAUGGCUUGAGGUUGGGAGAGGGAUGCGGAAUUCCAGGUGUAGCGGUGAAAUGCGUAGAUAUCUGGAGGAACACCGGUGGCGAAGGCGGCAUCCUGGACCAAUUCUGACGCUGAGGAGCGAAAGCCAGGGAGCAAACG